Molecule: long non-coding RNA, 4050 nt
Organism: Musa acuminata AAA Group (dessert banana)
Lineage: Eukaryota; Viridiplantae; Streptophyta; Magnoliopsida; Zingiberales; Musaceae
Exons: 5
Source: RefSeq, a predicted model, not a curated record
UUCGAUGAUCGCGAAGACGGAGGAGGUGUGUGCGCUGCUUCCUCCAGUAUUGCCUUGUGGUUUGAGGGUGGGAGCUGACGGAACCAAUCAGAGGGACGAGGAGGGUGAUCAUUUGCCCCUGUAUGCCAACGAGGUCCGUCGCAUGUUGAUUUCGAUCUGGAACGCAUUGAUCCAUCGAAAAUCCAAAUGCAUAUUGUUUUGAAUCCGAGGCCUAUAAUGACGUGCGCGUACAUAAUAAUCUCUCGGUCCUUCGCGACCCGGCGACGCAACCGGGAAUCCAAAGACGCGGAGGAGGAGGAAUAGAGAGCGCGAUGGGUCUGCAGGUAGAUUUUGAAGAAUAUGCUGCAAAAGCUAAAACGUUACCUGUAAAUACUACUAAGAAGAGCAAAUUGUUCCUGUAUGGGCUUUACUACCAAGCGACUGUCGGACCAGUGAAUACUAGAAUGUGCUCCUUAAUAUAUUCUGAUUCGUUAUUUUCAAUCUUUGCCAAACAAAAUUUUGACACUUUUAUCUUUUGUUUCUUUGCAGGUUGACCUGGUAUAUUCAAUAUGAGGGAUAGAGCCAAAUGAGAAGCUUGGAAGGCUGUUGAAGGGGAGGAAGCCAAAGGAGGAGGCUAUGAGUGACUACCUCACCAAGGUUAAACAGCUGCUCGAGGCAACUGCUACUGCUGCUUAUGCUACUUUGUCACGCCUUGCUCAAUGUAGUACCAUUGUUUCAUUCGAGUUAAGAUGCAUGCGGAUGUCAAGUUUUUAGGUCAGCAAAGCUAAGUGUGGGCAUGUUGAAUGAGCAUUACCUGCAGCCCAUAUAUUUAGUGAAGCUUUAUUGAUUCCCGGUAAGACUAUAAAUUGUCUGUUAGGUUCUGUUCAUUUUUCUCUUCAGCACUACAUGCUAGAGAUCUUUUAUCUUUGUUCAGUUUCUUCCCCUUAAAACCUAGGCGAUCUGUGAUAAAAUUUUAUUGGAAAUUUAAUAGUGAUGAGUGUAUAUUACCUUGAAAUGAAAAGGAGGCUUUUUAUAGUUGUCUUCCUAUAGUUUGAUUAUUUAGUCUAACAAUCGUGGUAGAAAAAUCCUGUAUAUUUUAUCCGAUCUUUUGCUAUGACUUUUGGGCUUCUUUCUACAUCCAAAUUUGUAUAGAAUGUGUUUUGUGAAAGGCAUGGAUAGUUGUAAUGCAGACAUUGAUCGAGUGUUUUAUCUUUCGGUAUGCCAUCUGACAUUUAUUUGCUUAUGGUCUCUUAAAAAUCUUUGUCAUGCAUAUAUAUUAUUAAAAAAAUGAGAAAAAAAAUAAUUUUUAAAGGUUAAAAUCAAAUGCCUUAUCAUAUUCAAAUAUUUUUUUUAGUUUUAAAAAAAUAUUUUUUACGAAGUUAAAUUAAUAAGAUUUGUGAGCCCCUUUUUCCAUAAAGAUGUUUAUUUUAUUGUAAGAUUUCCCUAGAAUAAUCCUCAAUGUUAUAUAUUUUUGCAUUGAGCAUCUCAUUUUUUUUUUUUUUGCAGUUCAGUUUAUUUUUCAUAAAUGAUAAAACUAUCAUUAAAUGAUUAAUUGAUGGAAAUUAAAUUGUUUUUUAUUUGGUUUUUAUUUAGUUGAAACCCUUAAAUUGUUCAUUAUUUUAAUUUUAUACAUUACAAAAAGAUUAGCAUUAUUAAUAUAUAAUUAAAAUUAUACAUUUUCAAAAUAACUAGUUAAAAAUUGAUUUAAACAUUAUAAAAUAAUAAACUAAGAUCCAUUUAUAUGAUUAUAUUUUUAUUUUUAAAUAAUAUCUUUUAUUUAAUAUGUCAAAGUUUGAUGUGUCUUUUUUUAAUGUCGUCAUCCGAUGCUCGACCAUUGAGAUGGCAAUCGAAGCGAUCUCCAAUCUUCACUCACACAAAGUUUCACGAACCCUAACGUUAAGUAUCUCCCUAGAUUGUUUCUUAUUGUAACACUUUGUGGAUUUUAUUUUCCUAUGUUCUAGUUUGUUGGUGAUGGUGUGUUCUUUGCGGAGCUUAGUGACGUCCUCACAAGAACCACUGAGCUGUGGACGGGUACUCCAGUGUUGAGGUCAGCAUCGGUGAUCAUUAUUAGAGCCGCCAGGACCCUGAACGUACUUGAUAUCGUUCUCCAAUCUAUGUUAAGCCUUGGUGGUACACCCGAUUUGGACUUCGUAUCAUAAUUGUGUAUGGUGAGAAGGGGAGAAGGAUAUUGGAGUUGACUUCUGUGGUCCAGUAAAGAUUCAACUUUUUGGAAAAUGGUGUGGAGCUCUACACCGAAGGUCAACAACAGAGGGCUUUGUGCAAUUGCUUGGGCUAUCUUUCUGGUACAAGCUUCUCGGAGGAGUGUCAUUCCUUCUUAACAUGGAGGAGAAGGGAGCAUAGGAGAGGAGAGCAAAGUGAGAGUGAAGCGCUUAUAUGUUGGUAAUGAUAGAUACGGCUGUUGGAUCGUUUCUUGAACAGAAUCCAAAUCUAAAUCCUGUGUUUCCUAAAGCCCCAAGAUUAAUUAAUUAAUUAAUUAAUUAGGUUUAUAUGUUUAAUUUGAUAUAUAUAUUUAUUUUGAAAUCAAGUUUCCCUAUUUCUCUCCUGUCUUAUUUUUCUCUAUCCUUCCAUCCAUAGUGUCUCCGAGAUUCUCUAUUCCUAACUCUCUAUUGAACUCAAGUUUGAAUUCGUGGCAUACUCUCUGAAUGAGGUGGAUUAUUUUGUGUGUAACAUGCAUAGAGACUCCAGUAAAUGCCAGUUCUUAGAUCAUGGCAUGAUUCUGUUCAACUCAAGCUUGAAAUGACAUGCAUAAUUGAUCUUGGAAGAACAGCAAACAAAGAUAAUUUCUGAUGGUAACUGGGAUAAGUAGUUUAUGGUAGAAAAUUUUUCAAUGAAACUAUUCUGAUGACGGCAGCAAAAUGAUUGUUACAGUCAAAAUUUUGAUGAAGUCAUUAAGUCAUUGCAAUUGGAUUCUUGGUUUUUUCUUCAUUUAUAACGGUUGCCAAUGCCUGUGUGUUUUUGCUGCAACUUCAAGCAUUAUGAUUUUGUUGCUGCUGCAUGGUUGACUGCAGUAGGAAUUUGUCUCAUACACAUGUUGAAAGCAUCAAGAACAAUUUUAGUCAAACUGUGUUCUUAACUUUUUUUAUUGUUUGAAUCCAAACUCUCCUUUUCAAGUAUCUUGCCUUCUUGAUCACCUCUCUGGAUGCUGAUGAGCUUAAACUCUGCAAUAAGAAUAAUUUGGCUUGGCUAAGUUUAAAUGCUUGAGGAGAGGGAAAAACUCAAAAUAUCUUUCAUUUUCUUCUAUUUUGCUUUAUUUCUACAUCUCUAGUGCCACAUGAUAAAGGAGAUGACUUUUUGUUCUUCCUAUUUGAUACUUUUGUCCUUAAUUCUUUCUACAUCUCUAGUGCGGCAUGAUUGUUUUAAUAGAUCUUGGUUUCCGUGUGAUGCUCAUAUAGAUAUUUGCCUAUUGACAACUUCAACUAGAAAUGCUUAUCUGGUAGGCUGUACCUAAAUGCUUCGAAUUUUUUAUUGUACUAACCUUGUUUGUGCUGAAAUUUAGAUGGAUGAAUUUAUUGACUUUCUAAACAGUAAUAAAAACACAGAUAUACCUGGAGAUAUAUAUAUAUUCAAGUGCUUAAUGAUCCAUUUUAAUUGAUCUUUUGCUUUUAAACAUGUCAGGGUGUCCUCGAUAUCGAAGUAAAGAUCAUGCUGGACUAGGAUCCUAAAAGAAAGCAGGGCACCAUGACUCCUUUGCCAGAUCAUGUUACAAUUCAUGCCCCAAAGGAGGAAGAGGAGUUACACUCCAGAAGAAUUUGAAUGCUACAACCUUUGCAAAAGGAAAUAUGAUUACAUUUCUUCUUCAUAAGCUUUCGGUAUGUAACAAGUCAAAAUUCUUUUGAUUUAUGCGCUUUAACUAGUCGUAGAUUAACAUGAAGAAAGAUUGGGAGUCCUUAGGCCCAUAUCUUAGUUUGUUCCAAUCUUCUCAGGAGUGUUAUUUGUUCUUAUCAUUUGUUUGAAAAACCGACGUGGUUACUCCCACAAAUUUUUACUGUUUUGUAGACUUGAUAUUAGUUAUUUGAAUUCGUAUGUAACUUCCAAAGCUGGAAUAGUAGA